AGGGCACUACCAGGAGCGGAUCCUGCGGCUCAAUUUGACUCAACACGGGAAAGCUCACCUGGUCCGGACACUGGAAGGAUUGACGGAUUAAGAGCUCUUUCUUGAUUCAGUGGGUGGUGGUGCAUGGCCGUUCUUAGUUGGUGGAGCGAUUUGUCUGGUUAAUUCCGAUAACGAACGAGACUCUAGCCUACUAAAUAGGUGUUCCGAUCCCAUCAGUCGGACGCUCUUCUUAGAGGGACAAGCGGCGUUUAGCCGCACGAGACAGAGCAAUAACAGGUCUGUGAUGCCCUUAGAUGUCCGGGGCCGCACGCGCGCUACACUGAAGGAACCAGCGUGUGUCCCUGUCCGGCAGGACUGGGUAAUCCGUUGAACCUCCUUCGUGAUAGGGAUAGGGGCUUGUAAUUGUUCCCCUUGAACGAGGAAUUCCCAGUAAGCGUGAAUCAUCAGUUCACGUUGAUUACAUCCCUGGCCUUUGUACAAACCGCCCGUCGCUCUACUGAAUGGAUGAUUUAAAGAGUA
RNAcentral lists this ribosomal RNA (519 nucleotides) under uncultured eukaryote. RNAcentral describes it as "bacterial SSU rRNA". It matches the Rfam family "Eukaryotic small subunit ribosomal RNA", at positions 1161 to 1707 of the family's 1831-position model. The record is from RNAcentral.